This 72-nucleotide small nucleolar RNA is filed under the name Dryobates pubescens (Downy woodpecker). Its description in RNAcentral is "Picoides pubescens (downy woodpecker) Small nucleolar RNA SNORD18". It matches the Rfam family "Small nucleolar RNA SNORD18". Rfam says of the family: U18 is a member of the C/D class of snoRNA which contain the C (UGAUGA) and D (CUGA) box motifs. Lineage: Eukaryota; Metazoa; Chordata; Aves; Piciformes; Picidae. The record is from Rfam by way of RNAcentral.
UGAGAAUGAUGAGAUUCCAGUUCAUUGGUCCGUGUUUCUGAAACACAUGAUCUUUGUGGAACUUCUGACUCA